This is an RNA transcript of Oncorhynchus nerka (sockeye salmon), 4223 nucleotides long. It is a transcript of the gene named T-cell surface glycoprotein CD3 epsilon chain-like, with no coding region annotated. The record is from RefSeq and is a predicted model, not a curated record. The transcript is spliced from 3 exons. Lineage: Eukaryota; Metazoa; Chordata; Actinopteri; Salmoniformes; Salmonidae.
AAGAGAGAGAGAGAGAGAGAGAGGCAAAGAGAGAGAGAGGCAAAGAGAGAGCGGGCUUUGAGAGAACUAUUGACUUUUCUAAACACAACAUUUUCAGACUUACACAAUAUUUCCAGCACUUAAAUUCCGACAGAAUACAAUAACAAAAGUACACUUGACUUACCUUGAGAGACAGAGAAGACAUGAACAGAGUGGUGUGCUCAUCUUCUUCAUGGUCGCCAUCACUGCUGUGCAGGGACAAAAAUCAGGUUGAGAUGGUUUCUAUGGCUUCUUUGUUCAAAUCAGUUGUCCUAUAUUUACAUUUAUUACAAUGUAGAGAUUGAUUGUAUUAAACAAAAAAUAUAUGGUUUAGUUAUAUAUUGAAAGUAUUUACAGUUCUUCUCAAUAGUGUACAAGCAAUUCCGGUAUCUGUGUUAAAACAUAUCCAUAGUAGAACAUCAAUGAUCAAAUGCUCAAAUAGAUGUACAGAACUUCUGAUCGUUUUAUUGCCUUAGUACCUGACUUGCAUAUCUUACACCACCUUUUGCAAAACGUUAAAUACAAAUGUCAUCAGUGAAUAAAAAACUCACUGUCUAGUGUUCAGUUCAAGAAUAUUAACACAUUGUUUUCAUCAGAAGAUAAAUGUUUCCUGCAAUCAGUCAUACCAUGUACAAUAUAUGGAAAGAUCUAGGCAAUGGGAACUGUGUAAUUGUUAUGAAUUUACACAAUAUUGCAGACAAUGAAGUUGGGUUACCUUUACAUAACCGUGGGUUACUCCUAAGUCAUCAUAGCCGACAUUGUGUCCUUUCAUUAUAGAGCUUUGCUUUAAUGUGGAUUUAGGCCUAUACAUUCAUAUCAAGUGUGUUCCUCCAUUGUCCUCAACCUUCCAUAUUUCUAUUGUGGAUUGUGUUUCAGUGCACCAAUUAAAUGUCUACAAAAGUAUAACCUUUGCAUUGAAUACAUGGAAUUGGAUUGUGAUGAUGCCCAUGAACGAAUCCUGCACACAAUGUGCAUUUAAAAAAAAAAUCUGGAAUAAUAUUUUGUGUAUGAAAUUGUUUGGAGAAAUAUGUGUCAAAGGAGAAUGGUUCCCCAUAAUUCUGCACUUUUGGACAGUUGUACUCAAAUGUUUUAUCAUCAUGAUUAAGUGACUGCAAAGAACAUGUAUUGAUCUACUGGGAUUUUUUAAAGACAGACUAACUUUCUGUUCUGUCUGCUUGGAAUCAAGAGAUAUGUAUAGUUGUGUCUAUCUUUUUGCAGGCAGUCGUGUUCUUUGGAUAAAUGUAUUUGCAAUUUUGACGGUAUAAUGUAGUUUUGAUACGUGUACUGUAUAUGUUUUGAGAAGGCAACUACAUUGACUGUUUUCCAACAGGCCACAGAGUUCUGUGUCUUGUGGACUCUGUUUUGAAGAUCGACAACAUUGUUACAAACAACUGCUUGUACAUGAUUGAGAAAAACUGUAGUGUUGAAUGUCUUGUUUGGUGUCAAUUCAAUAAUUCAAUGUUAGUUUAAAAAAAAAAGUUAGCUGUGAAGUAAAUACUUUUUCUUAUGCAUUAAAUAAAUAAAUGUAAAGAGUACGUGGUAAUGUCAAUAGUUGUUUGUUUCAGGGUGUGUAUCCUUCUUGAGAAACAUUGUUACUAAGACAUGUCCCGGGGGGUGAAUUAACGAAAAAAGAUGACUCCUCAUUUACAUUAGAUAAGAGUGAUAAAAGCAAAGGAAAUAUAUACACCCAUUGACACCCAUACACCCAUUAACUCAUCUUCUUCUUCCUUCUUCCCUUCAUACACCCAUGUUUUAACACAAGUUGACUACUAACCCUACCUGUAUUGUUUUUGGUGUUGCAGUGUGUGAGAACUGCGUUGAGCUGGAUGCGACUCUGGUUACCGGGGCUAUUGUUGGGGACCUGCUGGUGACAGGAGGGGUCAUUUUCAUUGUGUAUAGCUGGGCUCAGAAGAAGUCUGGACCUGCUGCACCCCAAAAACGUAACGCUGUUACCAUCUGAUUAUCCAUCAGCCAACAGUGGCACUUGGUGAUAGGGAGCGCUCUCAACUAUUUAAUUUGACCAUACCCAGGACUACUCGACAGCAAAAGACGUACCGCUCAGCAGGCCGUGGUCCCCCAGUGGUGCCAAGUCCAGACUGUGAGCGUGGCAACCUGCAGCAGAGAUAUCUACGCUACCCACAGGACUGGGUAGACUAUCCUCUCACCAGACCACACCUGUUCUCUAGGACCCCUCUGAUGCCCUGGACCAGCAGGCCUCAGCUCACCCUGCCAUCAAAGAGGAGGGGAGAAGGCUCUGUAGUUCUUAGCAGAGACUUAAAGAGCUUCUUAUUUGAGCUUGAUGUGUAAAAAAUGUGAUAUCAUGAUUUAGUUCAAACUAUAGUUCAGAAUUACUGCAACUAGCGAUAAUAGUGAUCAACAUAGUGUUGCUCUGGAAAAUAGAGACAUAAAGGGAGGAAGAUCUUUGUAACGGCUUUUAGAUGUUUGCUGUACUGAAAAACAACUUGUACAUAUCUGUGUAGAUCAACUGUUGUAAAAUGGUAUCAAUGAUUGCAGAUGUCAAGUUCUUCCUCCUCACAAUGUUAAUGCUGCCUGUAUAUACACUGAGUGUACAAAACACCAUCCUAAUAUUGAGUUGAACCCCCUUUUGCACUUAGAACAGCCUCAAUACAUUGGGUUAUGGACUACAAGGUGUCGAAAGCGUUCCACAGGGAUGCUGGCCGAUGUAGACUCCAAGGCUUGCCACAGUAGUGUCAAGUUGGCUGGAUGUUCUGUGGGUGUUGGACCAUUCUUGAUACACACAGGACACUGUUGUCUUGCCCAUUCACCCUCUGAAUGGCACACACACAAUCCAUGUCUCAAUCCAUGUUAAAGCUUAAAAAUCCUUCUUCAACCUGUCUCCCUUCAACUGCACUGAUUGAAGAGGAUUUAACAAGUGAAGUCAAUAAGGGAUCACAGCAUUCACCUGGAUUCACCUGGUCAGUCUAUGACAUGGAAAGAGCAGGUGUUCUUAAUGUUUCGUGCAGCUAGCGUAUUAGCACAUAUACAGUGGGGCAAAAAAGUAUUUAGUCAGCCACCAAUUGUGCAAGUUCUCCCACUUAAAAAGAUGAGAGAGGCCUGUAAUUUUCAUCAUAGGUACACUUCAACAACAACAGAAAAUCACAUUGUAGGAUUUUUAAUGAAUUUAUUUGCAAAUUAUGGUGGAAAAUAAGUAUUUGGUCACCUACAAACAAGCAAGAUUUCUGGCUCUCACAGACCUGUAACUUCUUCUUUAAGAGGCUCCUCUCUCCUCCACUCGUUACCUGUAUUAAUGGCACCUGUUUGAACUUGUUAUCAGUAUAAAAGACACCUGUCCACAACCUCAAACAGUCACACUCCAAACUCCACUAUGGCCAAGACCAAAGAGCUGUCAAAGGACACCAGAAACAAAAUUGUAGACCUGCACCAGGCUGGGAAGACUGAAUCUACAAUAGGUAAGCAGCUUGGUUUGAAGAAAUCAACUGUGGGAGAAAUUAUUAGGAAAUGGAAGACAUACAAGACCACUGAUAAUCUCUCUCGAUCUGGGGCUCCACGCAAGAUCUCACUCCAUGGGGUCAAAAUGAUCACAAGAACGGUGAGCAAAAAUCCCAGAACCACACGGGGGGACCUAGUGAAUGACCUGCAGAGAGCUGGGACCAAAGUAACAAUGCCUACCAUCAGUAACACACUACGCCGCCAGGGACUCAAAUCCUGCAGUGCCAGACGUGUCCCCCUGCUUAAGCCAGUACAUGUCCAGGCCCGUCUGAAGUUUGCUAGAGAGCAUUUGGAUGAUCCAGAAGAAGAUUGGGAUAAUUUCAUAUGGUCAGAUGAAACCAAAAUAGAACUACUUAAUUGUGAGCCACUAUGACACAAAGGAAAUGUUUGUUUUAUGAAGUGUAGUGUCAUGCGAUUAAAGAGUCUAGCUAGUUUGCGGUUCUUUAUCUUCAGUCGGCUGUCAUGCCUUAAGCCGCAGAUGCCUGCACCCCUUACGCUUACUGGAAAUGAUGGUGGAUGAUUGGCCAGGUCUCUCUGUUGCUAAUCAUGAGGAUCUCAUCGGAAACACGUCACAUAUGAGUGUAGGCAGACUUUACUUACCCGCAUCAGUGGAAAGAAAACUUCUUUUUUUUUCCCUUACACUAACUUUGUGUUGCAAGAAUGUAGUGAAAAUAAUGUCUACUGGAUGUAUUUUUUAAAAAUCGUUUGACAAGAAUAAAGACCUUCUUACAACA